AUGUUCCAGAGUCCGCUUUCGACAUACAAUUUCAUCCUGAAAUAUAUUCAAGAGUUGGAAGAAUGCAAGACGAAGAAGAAUCCAAGGGUGGUCGCACGAGCUGAAUUAGUUCAGCCAAGAUGGGUAGCUCCAUCGGAAGGGACAGCAAAACUCCGUGUGGAUGGGGCAGUUUCCAGAGAUGGUAGCUUUGGCUCUUUCAGUGCUGUAUGCAGAAGCUCUUCGGGAUCUUUUUUGGGAGCCUCGGCCAUCAAGAUCGAAGGCAUUUCAGAUCCAGCGACUUUGGAAGCAUUGGCCUGUCGCGAGGCACUUGAUCUUGCUAUGGAUCUUGAUCUUGCUAAAAUCCUCAUAGCAAGUGACUGCCAAGAGGUGGUGAAUGACAUAAAAAACUGCACUGGUGGCGUCUAUGCUAGUACCAUUAGAGAGAUAGUGGAGUCAAAGAAUUCUUUUGAUGAUUGCUCAUUCAUCUUUGAGGGGAGGGCAACGAAUAUUGAGGCACAUAGUCUCGCUAAGCAUGCUUUUGGUUUGGAUUUCGGGCGCCAUGUAUGGCUUUUAAACCCUCCAAACAUCUCUUGUAUCCCUAUGAACAUUUUUGAGUAA
This 597-nucleotide ribosomal RNA is filed under the name Triticum aestivum (bread wheat). RNAcentral's name for it is "partial small subunit ribosomal RNA". The record is from RNAcentral. Lineage: Eukaryota; Viridiplantae; Streptophyta; Magnoliopsida; Poales; Poaceae.